RNAcentral lists this ribosomal RNA (253 nucleotides) under uncultured bacterium. Its description in RNAcentral is "partial 16S ribosomal RNA". It matches the Rfam family "Bacterial small subunit ribosomal RNA", at positions 524 to 776 of the family's 1533-position model. The record is from RNAcentral.
UACGUAGGGGGCAAGCGUUGUCCGGAAUCAUUGGGCGUAAAGCGCGCGUAGGCGGCCCUGUAAGUCCGCUGUAAAAGUCAAAGGCUCAACCUUUGAAAGCCGGUGGAUACUGCAGGGCUAGAGUCCGGAAGAGGCGAGUGGAAUUCCUGGCGUAGCGGUGGAAUGCGCAGAUAUCAGGAGGAACACCAAUAGCGAAGGCAGCUCGCUGGGACGGUACUGACGCUAAGGCGCGAAAGCGUGGGGAGCGAACAGG